This 351-nucleotide ribosomal RNA is filed under the name Pseudanabaena sp. CCY0485. RNAcentral describes it as "bacterial LSU rRNA". It matches the Rfam family "Bacterial large subunit ribosomal RNA", at positions 278 to 632 of the family's 2925-position model. The record is from RNAcentral. Lineage: Bacteria; Bacillati; Cyanobacteriota; Cyanophyceae; Pseudanabaenales; Pseudanabaenaceae.
UUGGCAUGACCGACUGGGGUUAUAGGACAGCAACACUGUACAACAGAGACUAGAUGAAGUGUUUGGAAUGACACGCCAAAGAGAGUGAAAGCCUCGUAUUUAAAAAUCAAAGUUGGCAAGCUGAUUCCUGAGUAGCACGGUACACGAGAAAUUCCGUGUGAAUUCGCGAGGACCACCUCGUAAGGCUAAUUACUCACUUGUGACCGAUAGUGAACCAGUACCGCGAGGGAAAGGUGAAAAGAACCCCGGAAGGGGAGUGAAAUAGAACAUGAAACCGUGAGCUUACAAGCAAUGGGAGGACGAUUUAACGUCUGACCGUGUGCCUGUUGAAGAAUGAGCCGGCUACUUAUA